GAUGGAUUUUAAAAAAUCCUCUAGACAC
RNAcentral lists this transfer RNA (28 nucleotides) under Gastrotheca helenae (Helena's marsupial frog). RNAcentral describes it as "partial tRNA-Phe". Lineage: Eukaryota; Metazoa; Chordata; Amphibia; Anura; Hemiphractidae. The record is from RNAcentral.